GACGAACGCUGGCGGCGUGCUUAACACAUGCAAGUCGAACGCUGAAGCACCAGCUUGCUGGUGUGGAUGAGUGGCGAACGGGUGAGUAAUACGUGAGUAACCUGCCCUUGACUCUGGGAUAAGCCCGGGAAACUGGGUCUAAUACUGGAUGCUACAUGUCACCGCAUGGUGGUGUGUGGAAAGGGUUUACUGGUCUUGGAUGGGAUCACGGCCUAUCAGCUUGUUGGUGAGGUAAUGGCUCACCAAGGCGACGACGGGUAGCCGGCCUGGGAGGGUGACCGGCCACACUGGGACUGGGACACGGCCCAGACUCCUACGGGGGGCAGCAGUGGGGAAUAUUGGACAAUGGGCGAAAGCCUGAUGCAGCGACGCCGCGUGGGGGAUGACGGCCUUCGGGUUGUAAACCUCUUUCAGCAGGGAAGAAGCCACAAGUGACGGUACCUGCAGAAGAAGCGCCGGCUAACUACGUG
RNAcentral lists this ribosomal RNA (470 nucleotides) under uncultured bacterium. RNAcentral's name for it is "partial 16S ribosomal RNA". It matches the Rfam family "Bacterial small subunit ribosomal RNA", at positions 28 to 507 of the family's 1533-position model. The record is from RNAcentral.